Molecule: ribosomal RNA, 453 nt
Filed under: Streptococcus mitis
Lineage: Bacteria; Bacillati; Bacillota; Bacilli; Lactobacillales; Streptococcaceae
Description: bacterial SSU rRNA
Rfam family: Bacterial small subunit ribosomal RNA
Source: RNAcentral
GACGAACGCCGGCGGCGUGCCUAAUACAUGCAAGUAGAACGCUGAAGGAGGAGCUUGCUUCUCUGGAUGAGUUGCGAACGGGUGAGUAACGCGUAGGUAACCUGCCUGGUAGCGGGGGAUAACUAUUGGAAACGAUAGCUAAUACCGCAUAAGAGUAGAUGUUGCAUGACAUUUGCUUAAAAGGUGCAAUUGCAUCACUACCAGAUGGACCUGCGUUGUAUUAGCUAGUUGGUGGGGUAACGGCUCACCAAGGCGACGAUACAUAGCCGACCUGAGAGGGUGAUCGGCCACACUGGGACUGAGACACGGCCCAGACUCCUACGGGAGGCAGCAGUAGGGAAUCUUCGGCAAUGGACGGAAGUCUGACCGAGCAACGCCGCGUGAGUGAAGAAGGUUUUCGGAUCGUAAAGCUCUGUUGUAAGAGAAGAACGAGUGUGAGAGUGGAAAGUUCAC